UCUAAGGAAAGAGGGGUCAGCUCUCAGGGGUUGGGGGACCUUCUCCAACCCCUCCAGCAGUCAUCUGCAGCAUAUCCAGGGCCUCCCAGAAGAAAUCCUUCUGUGCAGCCAUCAAGGGCAUCCAGCCCACGAUCUCCUUCAUCUUUUCCAUGCGGUCUUGCCACGUGGAGCAACUAUAGAUCUGGCUGAGGUACUCCUCACAGGCCCGGGCUGUCCCACCGGGGUCCUGGGGUACUCCAGCCCCUGGGCUGGACUCGGGGGUCCCCACCACCCUGCUGGCCGGUAGGUCCCGAUAGGCGGGAUGGUGGUCGAUGUCAUGGCUAGAGAGCAUGUAGAGGCACUCUCUGGUAGAGCAGAGGGAGCAGGCACACAAAGGGACCUUGGAGGAAAGAAGGGGCAUGGCUGAGUGGGGCCUUUCCUGAGGGGUUCCCAGGAAUCCCCAGCUGUCGUGUUCCUCCCUCUCAGAGCAGCCCUGAGCCAGCAAGUGAGUGGGCUGGCUGAGCCCCAAGGUUGUGUGAGGUCAAAGAGGGCCAGCAGGGGCGGCUGAAGGAGACAGCCAGGAGCCAUGGGGUGCAGCAGGAAAGGGAGGUGGGUGGUGGUGGGGAACUGGAACCCCUGGGUGCCUGCAGGAGCCCUGGCUACAGUCCUAGGGGCCACCUGGUGCCAUUGCUCCUGCCCUCCCUGGUUGCCUGCUUGCCCGACCCUGCUCUGACCUUGAUGUGGAGCUUGACGAAGGAGGCACUCCCCUUAGGCCAGCCGGGGAGGCGGCCUCCAGCCCCACAGCCGCAGCCCAGCAGCUCCUUGCUGAAGUCCAAGCCCUGGCUCAGCACCAGGGAGUGGUUGAGGCCGCACCACAGGGCAAUGGGGCAUUGCAGAUAAUGUACCUGAGGACACAGGGCCAGGGUCCCUAAGGGGGGAACAGCAAGCGACUGGGGACCCGGGUUGGAGAAGGGUGACAGGAAGGCUCAGGGCAGAAUCUAGGGAAAGUAGGAGAGAGAAGAAAUGGGACCCAGCAUCCCCACCGACCCCCAGGAGAUCUGCCCUGCUGAAUGCGGAGGGCAGCAAUUCUCCCUCCUCGGUUCUCCAGCAGCCCCACACAGUCUGACCACAUGGGGUCUAGCACUUGUGGUUCUUCAUCUUUGCUCCCCAGAAAACAAGGGCCUGAGGCCAGGGCCUGCUAUCUAUUCCCUUAUUCUCACCCCACAGGCCUGUGCCAGCCUAGCCUCUCGUCCUGCCUUCCAGCCUCAGGGGGAGGAAUAUCCUUCCUCUUCCCAGGGCUCAAAGACUCUCCCUCCUAGUGCAAUUCCAGGCUCGCACCACCUAUACCGCCUCAGAUCUACCAAUUUCCAAACACCCUCUCUGCUUUAGUCAGGCCCAUCUUUUCACUGUCCCAGGUAUGUACAAGCUUCAUCUCCAUCCCCAACACACAGAAUGCCUUUCCCUAUACCCACCCAAAUCCUAUCUAACCCACUAGGCCCUGCUCACAUCUCACCUAUUCUAGUUACUCCCUGCCCACCCAGGUCUCCUGCUUUCCUCAAUUCCUAGCGCACUGACAGCAUGUACUGCAGAGGACAGACCUCGGAGUGCCAGCCAGUAGGAUGUGCAGCAGUGUGACCGGCACUACACACCGGCUGGCCUAACCUCCCUAGGGAACAGGAGAUAGAGUCCAAGGAAAGUGGAGAAGAGGGGAGAUCCAGGGGUUUGAGAAUCAUAGGAAGGGGGUCAGGAUUGCUGGGGAACAGUCUCACCUGUGUGGGUUCCCCUCGGUCCAUUUUGUCCCCUGUUCCCAGCUGCCCAUAUCUGUUAUUUCCCUGCAUAAAGAUUCGGCCGAAUUCAUCUACCAGGCCAAGGUGAUUAUAGCCAAGAGCACAGAAAAGGACCUAGGAGGAUCCUACCUUGGCAGGCAGUGAGAGAGCAAGCGGCAUCUGCUGGUCCAGGGGAUCAAAAGCUUGAAGGGUCCCAAAGAGAUCACGAUACACCCCUGGCACUCUCUAAGCCAUACAGGAUGAAACACUUACUGCCCUAGAGUGGGGCUGAAAGAAAAAGGGUGGAGAUGAACUAAGGGAAGAGCGACCUCAAGUUUCCCAGACUCCAGCCCCUUACCACCAAAAACAAAUCAAGGAAGUCCUUCAGUGUGAGAGAUGAGUAGCGAAAACCCAGCAGGUAGAUUUGGCAGAAUCCAAUUUGAAUGUUGGGAAUGAUGUCUGGGGAUUCAGGGCCUUACCUAGCAUCAAGAAGUCCAGAAGGUCUCAGGCUUGGGAGUGUGGUCAAAUAUAGGGGACAUUGAGAAAGUAGGACAGUUUGGGGUAUAAACUGAGAUGACUGGCAUGGAGGUUGGGGUGAUUAGAAUUUAAAAAACCAGGUCACUAGAACAGUGGUUUCCAAACUACUUUUUGCAGCAGGGCCCUUUAUUCAUAGGAAAUAUGCAGAAUCCUAGACUAGGAGACAGACAAAAGCAGAGCUAUUUGGUUUGAGACCAGAUGAGGUGGCAUGCAGAACCCUCCCCACAGCAGGUCCAAAAGAAUCUGCAGGAAACAAUCUGCAAACCACUGCUCAAGGCCACACCUGUGA
Long non-coding RNA from Diceros bicornis minor, 2571 nucleotides. RefSeq lists it as uncharacterized. The transcript has 4 exons. The record is from RefSeq and is a predicted model, not a curated record. NCBI's taxonomy places the organism in Eukaryota, Metazoa, Chordata, Mammalia, Perissodactyla, Rhinocerotidae.